GACGAACCGUGCGAACGUGGUUCGGAAUCACUGGGCUUAAAGGGUGCGUAGGCGGGUUAUCCAGUCUGGGGUGAAAUCCCACGGCUCAACCGUGGAAUUGCCUCAGAUACUGACGACCUCGAGGGAGGUAGGGGCGAGCGGAACUGUGGGUGGGGCGGUGAAAUGCGUUGAUAUCCACAGGAACUCCGGUGGCGAAGGCGGCUCGCUGGACCUCUUCUGACGCUGAGGCACGAAAGCUAGGGGAGCAAACGGG
RNAcentral lists this ribosomal RNA (253 nucleotides) under uncultured bacterium. Its description in RNAcentral is "partial 16S ribosomal RNA". It matches the Rfam family "Bacterial small subunit ribosomal RNA", at positions 524 to 776 of the family's 1533-position model. The record is from RNAcentral.